UCUAACCAAUGGGGGUGCUCGGUAGUGACUGCCGGGCUGAGAGGCGGAAGGCCAACUCCUAGAACCUGAUCCGGGUCGUGCCGGCGGAGGGAAUUGGGAUGAGUACCAA
Molecule: non-coding RNA, 109 nt
Filed under: Pseudovibrio sp.
Lineage: Bacteria; Pseudomonadati; Pseudomonadota; Alphaproteobacteria; Hyphomicrobiales; Stappiaceae
Description: TPP sequence
Rfam family: TPP riboswitch aptamer (THI element)
About the family: Vitamin B(1) in its active form thiamin pyrophosphate (TPP) is an essential coenzyme that is synthesised by coupling of pyrimidine and thiazole moieties in bacteria. The previously detected thiamin-regulatory element, thi box was extended, resulting in a new, highly conserved RNA secondary structure, the THI element, which is widely distributed in eubacteria and also occurs in some archaea.
Source: RNAcentral